RNAcentral lists this ribosomal RNA (428 nucleotides) under uncultured bacterium. RNAcentral's name for it is "bacterial SSU rRNA". It matches the Rfam family "Bacterial small subunit ribosomal RNA", at positions 355 to 796 of the family's 1533-position model. The record is from RNAcentral.
UGAGGAAUUUUCCGCAAUGGGCGAAAGCCUGACGGAGCGACGCCGCGUGGAGGACGAAAUCUUUCGGGAUGUAAACUCCUUUCGACCGGAACGAAAAAAAUGACGGUACCGGGAGAAGAAGCAUCGGCUAACUACGUGCCAGCAGCCGCGGUAAGACGUAGGAUGCAAGCGUUGUUCGGAAUUACUGGGCGUAAAGCGUGCGUAGGCGGCUUCAUAAGUCGAGGGUGAAAGCCUGGAGCUCAACUCCAGAGACGCCUUCGAGACUGUGAAGCUCGGAGGACGGCAGAGGGGGGUAGAAUUCCCAGUGUAGCGGUGAAAUGCGUAGAUAUUGGGAGGAAUACCAGUGGCGAAAGCGACCCCCUGGGUUAGUCCUGACGCUGAGGCACGAAAGCGUGGGGAGCAAACGGGAUUAGAUACCCGGGUAGUCC